RNAcentral lists this ribosomal RNA (253 nucleotides) under uncultured bacterium. RNAcentral's name for it is "partial 16S ribosomal RNA". It matches the Rfam family "Bacterial small subunit ribosomal RNA", at positions 524 to 776 of the family's 1533-position model. The record is from RNAcentral.
GACGAACCGAGCGAACGUUGUUCGGAAUCACUGGGCUUAAAGGGCGCGUAGGCGGGCCGUCUAGUCCGUGGUGAAAUCCUCCAGCUCAACUGGAGAAGUGCCUCGGAUACUGGCGGCCUCGAGGGGGGUAGGGGCGUGCGGAACUUCCGGUGGAGCGGUGAAAUGCGUAGAUAUCGGAAGGAACACCGGUGGCGAAAGCGGCGCGCUGGACCCCUUCUGACGCUGAGGCGCGAAAGCGUGGGGAGCAAACAGG